CAGCAGCCGCCGCGGUAAUACGAAGGGGGCUAGCGUUGCUCGGAAUGACUGGGCGUAAAGGGCGCGUAGGCGGCAUACACAGUCAGAUGUGAAAUUCCUGGGCUUAACCUGGGGGCUGCAUUUGAUACGUGUAGGCUAGAGUGGGAAAGAGGGUUGUGGAAUUCCCAGUGUAGAGGUGAAAUUCGUAGAUAUUGGGAAGAACACCGGUGGCGAAGGCGGCAACCUGGUCCUUGACUGACGCUGAGGCGCGAAAGCGUGGGGAGCAAACAGGAUUAGAUACCCCAGUAGUCCCUGUCUCUUAUAC
Molecule: ribosomal RNA, 304 nt
Filed under: uncultured bacterium
Lineage: Bacteria
Description: partial 16S ribosomal RNA
Rfam family: Bacterial small subunit ribosomal RNA
Source: RNAcentral